This 2005-nucleotide long non-coding RNA is filed under the name Ricinus communis (castor bean). Its description in RNAcentral is "long non-coding RNA (RCOM_LNC002536)". Lineage: Eukaryota; Viridiplantae; Streptophyta; Magnoliopsida; Malpighiales; Euphorbiaceae. The record is from RNAcentral.
UACAAUUUAAGUGGCAUGACAUACUUAAUAUAUAUAAGAAAUAUUUAUACAGUAGUUUAAUUCACACAAGUUCCCAAAAUGCCCCAAUGCUUUAGAUAACUCCUCUGGCCCACCUGAUAAUAUUGACUGAUGCAAAAAGAGCAAUGCACAACUAAGGCUAUCUACAACUGCACUAACCUGAAAAAAAAAAUUGCUAAGGAAUGAGCUAGCGACUCAAUAAGCAUUUAAUUUACUAAACUAUAGUAUAUUAGGCUAGAAUUAUCAAAUCUUUAUCAAUACAGAAAAUUAUACCAACACUUAACUAACAAUCACAAAAUCAACCAUUUCAGUUAUUCUCAUAAACAUAUAAUUUCAUCUCACGUAAUGCAAAUAAUCUCAAACUCAACCAAGUCAAAUAAUUCAAUUCUACAUUAUUUCUAUCAAAUUAGGAUCAGAUGACUCAUCCUUACAUUUCCUCACAUUUUUAAAUUUCAGUAACCACUUGACAAGACUAUCCGCCCGGCUCAGUCUUGCCAUCUCACAUACUCGGGUAGCUAUCCGCCCGGCUCAGCUUUCCCGAUCACACAAUAUCCAUACAAAAGUCAUCAAUCCUUAAUCACAAUCAUUUCACUUCACAACACAUCACAAUCAAUUCACUUUAUAACAAGCCAAAAACAUAACUAAUAUCAACUCAGUCAACCAAGAAAUUAUCAAGUAAUCAAACAGCAGUCCCUACUCAAUAUACACAAAGUUUAGUCUAUUAAAUACUUACCAGAAGUUAUAGGAUAACAAAGUAAUCCUAUUCUUUUUCUCUUACCACUUCCUUGCCUUUGGAUGAACCUAUUCAUAUAUUCAAUACAAAUACAAUUCAAUCACAAGGCAUAAAUAUAUAUAUAUAUAUAUAUAUAUAUUUACUAUCAAUAAAAUAUCACAUUUCAACAAAAUAACAUAUAUUCUAGAUAUUAAUAUGAUGCAUGAGAUGAAUGACAACAAAUCAACAUAUUUGUUGAUGAAGGCAGCUUGUAGGUACUGACUUAGAAAUUACACCAAAACUUAUGUACAAUUAAUAAAAAUCUCAUAUUUUCCAGAAUUACACUUCCAUUUUUAUAGAAACCAUAGCAGAAAGAAUCACCUCAAAAUCAUUGGUAUAGAAAUAGUUAUGGCAUUUUCUAUACAGCUGCUCAAAUUUCCAUCUAAACAGAACAGAAAAAACGUUUCCUAUUAAAUGACCAAUCAAACAAAUGAAUUUUCUGAUGAAACUCUCCAGAUAUAAAGUUAACAUUCUAAAGUUUCUAUAGACACUAAUUUUACUCAAUUUGGACUUUUUUAGCUCAAGUUGUGAAACACACAAUUAGCAACAAAUUUCUGAAUCCUAAGCCCGAUUUCUGCUUAAAAUAGUUUCGGGCAGGCCAUAUUAAGUUCAACAUAUCUCACGUUAUACUCAACCAAAAAUUAUGAAAUUUUUCAGACAUAUACUACAUAUAUAAAUGAACAACUUUCAUGUUUAACUCUCUGCUUGGUUCAGCCUCUAAAUGCCUCAAAAUGUCAGCACAAAAACCAGGUCACCUGCUGAACCAAAAACAGAGCAGCAGCAAAAUCGAACCUCAUAAGUUCCUACUCACUCAACAAUCUGCAAAACCAUUUUACAGAGAUAUUCUUGAGACAUAUACCUACAACUUUCAUGUUUGAAAAUUUUCGAGAUAAAGUCUCUAAGGUCACGAAAUCAUAAGUGAAAAAUCUGCCCAGAAAUUUCAGCUUCAAGAUCACAAGUAAAAGCAUGUUUACUCUUGAUUAAACAAUUCCAAAACACAUAAUCAUCAACAAUUUCAUAUCAUUAACCCUAAUUUACAGCAAAAUCAAGCAAUUAAAAUUACUCACCUUUGUUUUCCUUGAUUAAGAAAGCCCAAAUCUUUCAAGCUUAAAAGAAGAAUUUGAUUUUCACUUACUAAAAGUUUUGUAGAGUUUGAUUUGGAAAAUCAAAGUUGAAGAAGGAAAGGAGAAAAAUGAGAGAGACAAAGAAGAAAAG